AGCUCUACAGCCAUCUCUGUUUACUUGGCCAAAAGGAAGAUUAAUCAGAUGAGGAGGGAGAAAUAGAUAUAGACAGAGGGAAUAUGAGGAAGAAGAGGGGAGUGUUGAUUACGGGUCAAAGAGAUGCCAUUGGCGAGGUUAAAAAGGAAGAAGUGAAAGAGAGGUGAUGAUAAAGUAAACAGUAGGUCACUGAUUUGUCAGUCUCCUCUUAUUGUUUUGUUGGAAGUUUAGUGGAAAAAGUAAUUUGCUACUCACAAUUCCUAUGGCACAUUUUGUUUCAAUUUAAAAAUAAGUAUACUUCCCUCUAUUCAUUAUAAAUAUCUAAUUUACUUUACGUUCAUUAAAAAAAUAUCAAGUUUUAUUGGCCAAAAGGAAGAUUAAUCAGAUGAGGAGGGAGAAAUAGAUAUAGACAGAGGGAAUAUGAGGAAGAAGAGGGGAGUGUUGAUUACGGGUCAAAGAGAUGCCAUUGGCGAGGUUAAAAAGGAAGAAGUGAAAGAGAGGUGAUGAUAAAGUAAACAGUAGGUCACUAACUUGUCAGUCCCCUCUUAUUGUUUUGUUGGAAGCUUAGUGGAAAAA
Molecule: long non-coding RNA, 576 nt
Filed under: Nicotiana benthamiana
Lineage: Eukaryota; Viridiplantae; Streptophyta; Magnoliopsida; Solanales; Solanaceae
Description: long non-coding RNA (NBEN_LNC009818)
Source: RNAcentral